RNAcentral lists this ribosomal RNA (582 nucleotides) under Inocybe flocculosa var. flocculosa. RNAcentral's name for it is "eukaryotic LSU rRNA". It matches the Rfam family "Eukaryotic large subunit ribosomal RNA", at positions 1 to 579 of the family's 3401-position model. Lineage: Eukaryota; Fungi; Basidiomycota; Agaricomycetes; Agaricales; Inocybaceae. The record is from RNAcentral.
UUGACCUCAAAUCAGGUAGGACUACCCGCUGAACUUAAGCAUAUCAAUAAGCGGAGGAAAAGAAACUAACAAGGAUUCCCCUAGUAACUGCGAGUGAAGCGGGAAGAGCUCAAAUUUGUAAUCUGGCAGUUCUUGAACUGUCCGAGUUGUAAUCUAGAGAAGUGUUACCUGUGCUGGACCAUGUACAAGUCUCCUGGAAUGGAAGCAUCACAGAGGGUGAGAAUCCCGUCUUUGACAUGGACUGCCUGCACGUUAUGGUGCGCUCUCAAAGAGUCGAGUUGUUUGGGAAUGCAGCUCAAAAUGGGUGGUAAAUGCCAUCUAAAGCUAAAUAUUGGCGAGAGACCGAUAGCGAACAAGUACCGUGAGGGAAAGAUGAAAAGAACUUUGGAAAGAGAGUUAAACAGUACGUGAAAUUGCUGAAAGGGAAACGCUUGAAGUCAGUCGCGUCGGCUAGAAAUCAGCCUUGCUUUUGCUUGGUGUACUUUCUGGUUUGACGGGUCAGCAUCAAUUUCGAUCAUUGGAUAAAGUCAUCGGGAAUGUGGCAUCUUAGGAUGUGUUAUAGCCCAGUGUCGCAUACAGUGG